AAUUCAGGAAACUGGUCUUGCAUAGUUGCUACAUCCUCCUAAAUAGCCCCCUCUCUACCUCUUUCUUUCCAUUCCACUAACACCUGUGAAACAGUGUCGUCCCCCUGCUACUUGUAUAUCCUCUCUAAAAUCUGCACUGGCCAAUAUGUGGGUCCUUCGGCCUGCAACUCAGCUGGCAAAUCCUUCUCAAUUCUCUUUGCCCCCACCGCCUUCUUU
This 216-nucleotide long non-coding RNA is filed under the name Vigna radiata. RNAcentral's name for it is "long non-coding RNA (VRAD_LNC000922)". The record is from RNAcentral. Lineage: Eukaryota; Viridiplantae; Streptophyta; Magnoliopsida; Fabales; Fabaceae.